Molecule: unclassified non-coding RNA, 345 nt
Filed under: soil metagenome
Description: partial contains 5.8S ribosomal RNA, internal transcribed spacer 2, and large subunit ribosomal RNA
Rfam family: 5.8S ribosomal RNA (bases 1-120)
Source: RNAcentral
GAUGAAGAACGCAGCGAAAUGCGAUAAGUAAUGUGAAUUGCAGAAUUCCGUGAAUCGUCGAAUCUUUGAACGCACAUUGCGCCCUCUGGUAUUCCGGGGGGCAUGCCUGUCCGAGCGUCAUUUGCAACCCUCAAGCCCGGCUUGUGUGAUGGGUGCCGUCCCCUACGGGACGCGCCCCGAAGGCAAUGGCGGCGUCGCGGUUAUCCGAUCAGCCAAAGUGUAUGGGGCUUUGUCACUCACUUUACGGCCCGGACCGGCGCCAGUCCGAAUCAAUCUUUUUUCUAAAGUUGACCUCGGAUCAGGUAGGGAUACCCGCUGAACUUAAGCAUAUCAAUAAGCGGAGGA